This 1056-nucleotide long non-coding RNA is filed under the name Olea europaea (common olive). RNAcentral's name for it is "long non-coding RNA (OEUR_LNC012252)". The record is from RNAcentral. Lineage: Eukaryota; Viridiplantae; Streptophyta; Magnoliopsida; Lamiales; Oleaceae.
GCAAAUGUCAUCUUAGUAUAUUUUUGAAGUUAUCCUCUUAACAUUACAAGAAAAGAAUUUCUACCAAAGAACGUAAUAUCUGUGGCGAUUUUGGGUAAUCAAACUGUAUACUUCAAAUCGUUAAAAAGAUAAAUGAAUGAAAACAGAGUUGUGAAAAUCGAACAGAUGGAAAGUGCUUUGGAAAGGAAACAAGAACCAAGAGUAGAUGUGUGGCAUCUCUUCAUACUGUUAAACUAAGUGAUGCAGCUUCAAUUGUUUUCCAGCUUUCUGACAAUCUUGUGUCUUUAUUUGUCUAAAUAAUUGGUGGACAUCAUUGGCAGAUGUUAAAAAAAUAAUCAAGUUAUUGACAAGGAACAAUUUACAGGGCAAGUGUCGCUCUAGUACACAUAGGAUUAUUAGUAUAGUAGUUUGUUGGUCAAGAAAAUAAAUGUCCGAUCAAUGAACUUUACCACUAUAAGCAAAUAAUUUGAAUUCUGAACUGACCAUUUGAAACUAAAAUUCUAAAAGUUCCAUUUGAACUUCAAAUUAUUUAGACCUAAUCUGGUCAUGUUCUUCACAAGUAUGGGUGAUUGUGAACUAAAAUAUUUUAAGUUACCCUAGUUCAAGCGAAAUAUAUGCCUCUUCUCGACGUUUCCAGUAAAAUUAAAUGAAUGGAAAACUGCCAUCUUUAAAUAGUGCAAUCCCAAGAAUCCCAGAGUAUCUGAGCUACAGAUGUACAAAGUAAUCGUCAAAGCUUUUUAAACAAUAUUUAAAAUGUAUUCAAUAUGACAUUGUAGAAUGAAUAAGAAGGCUUAUAUUAUCCUUGAAUGUUAUGUUUCAUGUUACUUCCUAUGCUUGUUGAAUGAUUAAAUACUUAGUGUUGUUAUUGUGUUGGUUUACCCCAAACAAAAUUGCAAGAUAGGCCUUAGAAGGAGUAUGGUUAUGUCAUAUGUGUGCCUAGCUAGUCCUGUUGAUAGCUAGCUUAAUCAUGAAUUUAGUUUACUUUGAUGCACGGACACUUUAAUUGGGUAGCGUGUCAUGACAUGUUGGACACGUGUCAGAUAUUGACACUCCUCG